This 2800-nucleotide unclassified non-coding RNA is filed under the name Hevea brasiliensis (rubber tree). Lineage: Eukaryota; Viridiplantae; Streptophyta; Magnoliopsida; Malpighiales; Euphorbiaceae. The record is from RNAcentral.
AAAAAAGGUAUUUAGUAAAAAAAACAUCACAUCAAAAGUAACACCAAGCAACAGCUGAUGGUCUUUGAAGGUUGGAUCAGUUUCUAUAUGAAUAAUAGAUACAAAGCCCCAAGCUCAAAUGUAAAUGAAAAAUUUUUUGUAAAAGAGAGGCAAGAAGAUGGGAAAAAAAAUAAUAAUCAAUAAUAAGGCCAAAAAAGAAAAAGAAAAAUGGAGAGACUGAAGAUUCUACUGCAAAAAACAGAAUGUUCUCGGGUAUUCAUUGCACCUGCUAUCUGGAGAGAUGCAAAAUCCGAUCAACUGGUAAUGUUGUAACGCGUUUGCAGCAGCUGACAAUUGCCUCCAACUAAACUCCAAUCCAAUGAUCCUUGAAUCAUGUAAAUAAAUCUGUUCAGAAAAUGCAUUCUGUAUAGCCACAGCCUGGAAGGUGACAGCAAUCUGAUCAUUUGUUUCCAGGGAAUGACCCUUCUUAGAUUACUGUUGCUGCUAAAUCCUUAUCUUACUGGCUACAAACUUCACUGUUCCCUUCUAAUUCUAGGAGUGGAUGAGCCUGGACGAUAGGCUUGGACUGGUUGUGUCUCAGGAUCGUACAUUUGGGAAGCAAGAUAAGUAAGGGCUGUGACUACGUCAGCUAUAAGGGGUCGCAUAUUAGGCUGUUCCUGAACACACAUUGCAGCAACAGCAAGAGCUUGGUACAAGCCCCUCACUGGAUAUUGACCUUGUAAUAAUGGGUCAGCCAUCUGUGAAAACUUCCUUCGAUCUUUGAACAAUGGCCUUGCCUGCAAUACAGGAGCAAUAUGCCAAUAUCAGACUGGAUUCCAUUAACUCGAUCCUCAGAGAGCCUCUCUACUCAUAAAAAUCAUGUGCUAUUGCGCUGAAGUUCUCCACAGAAUUCUUAGAACAGAAAAUAACAUUGCAAAUACUGUGGGGAGAAAAAAUUCUAUCCUAGUAGAAUGUAACUCCAUCUUUCUCCACCCUUGAUGAACUGAACCCUUUGUUUGAUAUUCAAGAAAAUUAUAAUGAGCGCAAUUAGUAUAUAACAUCAUUGACCUCUUGCCCAAAACAAAGGGAGCUGCACAAAAAAUAUCACUAGUUCACAACAGCUAAGUCUGGUCUGCAAAGGUUAAUACAGCUAUCUGAUGGUUUGAGCAUAAAGUUUUGAAGAGUAGCAGAAGAUUGCUGGCUAACUUUGUCAAGAAGUCCUUAGGCAUGCAGUAAUAGAUUGACAGCUAACCAUGUUGAGAAUUUACAUAAAAUUAGAAGACCAAAUUUGGUCAGACUUUCAUGGAUAUUGGAUUGCUAGGUUUACUCCAAUCAAUAAUAUCUUCAAAAAUGAAAAUAUAAAACAGUAGCACAUGGGAAGACUUAGCUAUCUUACCCAUGCAACGAGAUUAUGCUCCCCAGCAGCUCUUGAAUUGUCAAUAGCUUUCCUUCCAGUAAUAAUCUCAAGAAGAACAACACCAAAGCUAUAUACAUCUGAUUUAAGUGUAAGCUGACCUGUCAUUGCAUAUUCAGGAGCACAAUACCCAUAGGUUCCCAUCACUCUGGUGGAUACAUGGGUUUUGUCUCCAACAGGACCCACUUUUGCUAAACCAAAAUCAGAGAGCUUCGGAUGAUAACCUUCACCAAGUAAAAUGUUUGAGCAUUUCAAAUCACGAUAUAUAACAGGGGGAUUAGCUUUGUCAUGCAAAUACUCCAAGCCCUUUGCAGCACCGGCAGCUAUCUUCAUUCUUGUAUUCCAAUCAAGUCGUUUUUUAUCAGGUGGAAGGUCUGAAAAACACAACAUAUAAAAGAAACAUCACCGAAACACAUCAAAGGAAGCUACAUGAAGUUAUAUAUAACUACUGCAAUAAUUAAAUAAGAGAAGGCAGUCAAUCGGAUAAGACUUCAAAGGACAUAAGCAUGAAUACUUAAGCACCAUAUUUCCAUCCUUCCUGUACAAUGGUUGGCAGGAUGACUGAGAAAAAAUAAACAAGUAUGAUUAGAUAUUUGGAACGUAAGUUUUAAACAAUAUCCAAGAUAUGAAUGAAUAAAAAAAAUCCAGCAGUCAACUAGUCCAUGAAAACUUAAAUGGUUCAAAGAUGUUCAAAUCUGUGAUCAGCAAUUAAUUAAUACAUGAAAACUUCAAUGGUUCAAAGCUCUUCUAAUCUACAAUCUCUUUCACUGACAUGUGCAACACACAAGAUGAAUAAUUAAUGGUCGUUCUAGAAAUCAAAAUUUAUGUACAUACCAUGUAAAUGGUCUUCCAAAGAUCCUAAUGGCAUGUAUUCAUAAACCAAAAGUCUUUGAUCUCCAUCAGCACAGUAGCCAAUCAAGUUAACAAGAUUAGGAUGGUGAAGUAGGCUCAACAUUAAUACUUCAACAAGAAAUUCCCUGUUCCCUUGCAGCCCAUUACGAUCAAGUUGCUUGAUAGCGACAACCUGAUCGGUACUUUCCAAUCUCCCUUUAUAUACUCGGCCAAAACCACCUUCACCCAAAAGACAAUCUGCCCUGAAAUUCUUUGUUGCAGCAGCCAAUUCACGAAACGUAAAUGUAUGUACUGCAAUUUGAUCAGAGCCUCCAUCUGUAGAGGUCUCCUUCUUCACAUCCAGCACCAAAUUUGGCCUUGUUUUAGCUGAAGAUGAUGGGAUCUGAUCAUCAGGCCUCUUCUUCAGAGUCUUCUUCGCAUUUUUGCUUGACUUCCCAGCACAGGGAAACCAGCCCAUCACUUGUUCUCUUUCUCACUUCAAUGAGUAUCACUGCAAAGCAGAGAGAGAUAGCAAAAACAGACCAAACACUGAGAGAGAGUUGAACUGACCCAGGU